UGCAAGUCGAACGGGAACCUCUUAAAAGGAGGUUUUUAGUGGCGAACGGGUGAGUAACACGUAAGUAACCUGCCUUUAAGACGAGGAUAACAACCGGAAGGUUACUAAGACUGGAUAGGAAACAAAAAGGCAUCUUUUUGUUUUUAAAAGACCUUCUUACGAAGGUAUGCUUAAAGAGGGGCUUGCGCCACAUUAGUUAGUUGGUAGAGUAAAAGCCUACCAAGACGAUGAUGUGUAGCUGGACUGAGAGGUUGAACAGCCACAUUGGGACUGAGACACGGCCCAAACUCCUACGGGAGGCAGCAGUAGGGAAUUUUCGGCAAUGGAGGAAACUCUGACCGAGCAACGCCGCGUGAACGAUGAAGUAUUUCGGUAUGUAAAGUUCUUUUAUUGAAGAAGAAAAAGUAGUGGAAAAACUAUAUUGACGUUAUUCAAUGAAUAAGCCCCGGCUAACUAUGUGCCAGCAGCCGCGGUAAGACAUAGGGGGCGAGCGUUAUCCGGAAUUAUUGGGCGUAAAGGGUGCGUAGGCUGUUAGAUAAGUCUAUAAUUUAAUUUCAGUGCUUAACGCUGUCUUGUUAUAGAAACUGUCUUGACUAGAGUGAGAUAGAGGCAAGCGGAAUUCCAUGUGUAGCGGUAAAAUGUGUAAAUAUAUGGAGGAACACCAGAAGCGUAGGCGGCUUGCUGGGUCUUUACUGACGCUGAGGCACGAAAGCGUGGGUAGCAAACAGGAUUAGAUACCCUGGUAGUCCACGCCGUAAACGAUGAGUACUAAGUGUCGGGGUAAAACUCGGUACUGAAGUUAACACAUUAAGUACUCCGCCUGAGUAGUACGUACGCAAGUAUGAAACUUAAAGGAAUUGACGGGACUCCGCACAAGCGGUGGAUCAUGUUGUUUAAUUCGAAGAUACACGAAAAAUCUUACCAGGUCUUGACAUACUCUGCAAAGCUAUAGAAAUAUAGUGGAGGUUAUCAGGGAUACAGGUGGUGCAUGGUUGUCGUCAGUUCGUGUCGUGAGAUGUUAGGUUAAGUCCUAAAACGAACGCAACCCUUGUCGUUAAUUGCCAGCACAUAAUGGUGGGGACUUUAACGAGACUGCCAAUUAAACAUUGGAGGAAGGUGAGGAUUACGUCAAAUCAUCAUGCCCCUUAUGAUCUGGGCUACAAACGUGAUACAAUGGCUGUGACAAAGAGUAGCUGAAACGCGAGUUUUUAGCCAAUCUCAAAAAAGCAGUCUCAGUUCGGAUUGAAGUCUGUAACUCGACUUCAUGAAGUUGGAAUCGCUAGUAAUCGCGAAUCAGCAUGUCGCGGUGAAUACGUUCUCGGGGUUUGUACACACCGCCCGUCAAACCACGAAAGUUAGCAAUGCCCGAAAGCAGUAGCUUAACUUCGCAAGAAGAGGGAACCUAA
RNAcentral lists this ribosomal RNA (1406 nucleotides) under Candidatus Phytoplasma trifolii. RNAcentral's name for it is "bacterial SSU rRNA". It matches the Rfam family "Bacterial small subunit ribosomal RNA". The record is from RNAcentral. Lineage: Bacteria; Bacillati; Mycoplasmatota; Mollicutes; Acholeplasmatales; Acholeplasmataceae.